This 315-nucleotide unclassified non-coding RNA is filed under the name plant metagenome. RNAcentral describes it as "partial contains 5.8S ribosomal RNA, internal transcribed spacer 2, and large subunit ribosomal RNA". The stretch from base 1 to 105 matches the Rfam family "5.8S ribosomal RNA", at positions 50 to 154 of the family's 154-position model. The record is from RNAcentral.
GAACUGCGAUAAGUAAUGUGAAUUGCAGAAUUCAGUGAAUCAUCGAGUCUUUGAACGCACAUUGCGCCCCCUGGCAUUCCGGGGGGCAUGCCUGUCCGAGCGUCAUUGCUGCCCUUCAAGCCCGGCUUGUGUGUUGGGUCGUCGUCCCCUCCGGGGGACGGGCCCGAAAGGCAGCGGCGGCACCGCGUCCGGUCCUCGAGCGUAUGGGGCUUUGUCACCCGCUCAAUAAGGACCGGCCGGGCGCCAGCCGGCGUCUCCAACCUUUUUUUCUCAGGUUGACCUCGGAUCAGGUAGGGAUACCCGCUGAACUUAAGC